AGUGAACGCUGGCGGUAGGCCUAACACAUGCAAGUCGAACGGCAGCACAGUAAGAGCUUGCUCUUACGGGUGGCGAGUGGCGGACGGGUGAGGAAUACAUCGGAAUCUACUUUUUCGUGGGGGAUAACGUAGGGAAACUUACGCUAAUACCUCAUACGACCUACGGGUGAAAGCAGGGGAUCUUCGUACCUUGCGCGAUUGAAUGAGCCGAUGUCGGAUUAGCUAGUUGGCGGGGUAAAGGCCCACCAAGGCGACGAUCCGUAGCUGGUCUGAGAGGAUGAUCAGCCACACUGGAACUGAGACACGGUCCAGACUCCUACGGGAGGCAGCAGUGGGGAAUAUUGGACAAUGGGCGCAAGCCUGAUCCAGCCAUACCGCGUGGGUGAAGAAGGCCUUCGGGUUGUAAAGCCCUUUUGUUGGGAAAGAAAAGCAGCAGGUUAAUACCCCGCUGUUCUGACGGUGCCCAAAGAAUAAGCACCGGCUAACUUCGUG
RNAcentral lists this ribosomal RNA (492 nucleotides) under uncultured bacterium. Its description in RNAcentral is "partial 16S ribosomal RNA". It matches the Rfam family "Bacterial small subunit ribosomal RNA", at positions 29 to 507 of the family's 1533-position model. The record is from RNAcentral.